AGCUGCCGCGGUAAUUCCAGCUCCAAUAGCGUAUAUUAAAGUUGUUGCAGUUAAAAAGCUCGUAGUUGAAUUUCGGGGUUCUACCGUUGGUCGGGCUUUGUCUGUACUGGCGUGUAGAAUUUCUACCUUCUGGGGAACUAUCAUGUUAUUAAUUUAACGUGGUGGGAAACCAGGACCUUUACCUUGAAAAAAUUAGAGUGUUCAAAGCAGGCUUACGUCUGAAUACAUUAGCAUGGAAUAAUAAAAUAGGACGGUGGUCCUGUUUUGUUGGUUUCUGAAUCACCGUAAUGAUUAAUAGGGAUAGUUGGGGGCAUUAGUAUUCAAUUGUCAGAGGUGAAAUUCUUGGAUUUAU
RNAcentral lists this ribosomal RNA (352 nucleotides) under uncultured Racocetra. Its description in RNAcentral is "SSU rRNA". It matches the Rfam family "Eukaryotic small subunit ribosomal RNA", at positions 569 to 929 of the family's 1831-position model. Lineage: Eukaryota; Fungi; Glomeromycota; Glomeromycetes; Diversisporales; Gigasporaceae. The record is from RNAcentral.